GACGGAGGAUGCAAGUGUUAUCCGGAAUCACUGGGCGUAAAGCGUCUGUAGGUUGUUGUUUAAGUCAACUGUUAAAUCUUGAGGCUCAACCUCAAAAUCGCAGUCGAAACUAUUCAACUUGAGUAUAGUAGGGGUAAAGGGAAUUUCCAGUGGAGCGGUGAAAUGCGUAGAUAUUGGAAAGAACACCGAUGGCGAAGGCACUUUACUGGGCUAUUACUGACACUCAGAGACGAAAGCUAGGGUAGCAAAUGGGAUUAGAUACCCCAGUAGUCCUAGCCGUAAACAAUGGAUACUAGAUGUUGAACAGAUCGACCUGUGCAGUAUCAAAGCUAACGCGUUAAGUAUCCCGC
This 350-nucleotide ribosomal RNA is filed under the name uncultured diatom. RNAcentral's name for it is "SSU rRNA". It matches the Rfam family "Bacterial small subunit ribosomal RNA", at positions 524 to 872 of the family's 1533-position model. Lineage: Eukaryota; Bacillariophyta. The record is from RNAcentral.